Xenopus laevis (African clawed frog) is the source of this 2094-nucleotide long non-coding RNA. RefSeq lists it as uncharacterized. NCBI's taxonomy places the organism in Eukaryota, Metazoa, Chordata, Amphibia, Anura, Pipidae. The record is from RefSeq and is a predicted model, not a curated record. The transcript is spliced from 2 exons.
UUUAAUCGUGCAAAGAAUGUUUUUCUGUGGGUGUGGAAAAGCGAACAAAACUGAAGAGUACUGUCCUGAGUGGGGUUCUUCUUUUGGUUGUGUUGGUUCAGUAAUUUGUGGCCCAGGCACUUUAGUGGCAACUGUUUCCCUUCAUGGUGGCUGAUUCGUUACAUAGUUCUAUUCCCCUCCCCAACCACAUUCUGCUGGGAAAAUAGAAUGUACAAAACUCGAUCGAGGUCUGACAGGUCUUUAAAGGGCACGUUUAGCCGAUUUUACAUUUGAAUGCAAUGAGAUUUUAUUUUAUGGGGUAUAAUUCAGUUUUGUUGAAGCAUUUAGCAUUGUAAAAAGGAACAGAGGGACUAUAAACAACAAACUAAAUAUAACUCAGAGAGCAAAGCAGAAAAUCUUGGGUGCAGGUUAUUAGGAUCCAGGGGGUUCCUUGCACAGCUCUUUUCUUGCCCUCCUCCCAAUUGUAUUUAUAUGUUGGAGCAGCAAUAUUUCUUAUAUCCACUCACUCCAUGGAUAGCAGCUUGCGCUUCUGUGCACACAUUGCAUGCAAUAUGGCAGCUCCCUCUCAGUCAUACAAAUACAAUAUAUACAUUAUACACCUCAUAUUAUAUAAAACAACUUUUUCUUGAAUGGGGUUAAUCGCUGUUGCUGGAUUCAUAUUUAUUCACCUGUAACGUGCUGUGGCUGUUACACAUUCUGGGGUACACACAAUGAUGGUAUAAUGUCCCACUAGAAACCAAUAUUAUUAUUAUUAUUAUUAUUUUAGAGUCUAUAUACUGUUGUAUCUGCACCAAUACAGUACAUUGGGAAUAAGGGCAAAAGUUCAACGUUUUCUUUACAAAAUGCACAUUUAUUUGGACGAUUGUAAUGCAGCAAUUAUAACACUGGGCUUGUGCAUUUGCACUGAUGUGUUAAACACACACACACACACUCACACUGAAACAAUUUCUACUACUAUUGCCACUACUCCACUCAGGACAGUUUGACCUGGAAACAGUACAAAGUGUCAUUGCAGUAAAUUCCCCCUGAAAUCACAAGCCCAGCAACAGUAGCCCAUGUACAACUGCAUUUUCUGCUUCUGUGUUGUCAUGUGUGUGUUUCACAAGACAAAGCUGCAGCAUCAGGCCCAGGGGCCUACAAUUUACAAGUACAUUUCACUGAUCCUUCUCGUGUAUUUUGAUUUCUGUUUGUUUAUGUGUGUUAAUUAAUGUUGGCUUGUCGGUGCCCCUGAAUGCACAUAGACAUGUUCUGCGCAUUAUUUGCUCUUGUCUUGUUGGCUAGAAAGCAUAAGUUGUGUUGUUGUUGUGUUAUUUCAGUUGCACACACUGCAGCCCCACAUACUGCUGUACUACAUGCACUAACUCACUGUUGCAAUUCAUGGGGAUUUGUGCUAGAACCAAUCACUGUAUCAAGCUGGGGUAGCUGGGGUAUGGGAAAUAUAUGUUUUGUUGGGAUUUGGGAGUGUUAUACAUGGCAUUUGCUGUGUUUUAACAAUACUUAAGUAAAUGUGUGAAUGUGAAAUGUCUAUAUCAGAAAUAAAGUCUCGGCGGGGCUGGAGAGUUUGGGGAAAUGUGAUCCACUCCAAUGGGAAGGAUCCCCUGCUGCAAGCAGAAAGACCCCGGCAACUCCCUGGCAACAGGCUGGAAAUGAAACCAUUUCUCCAGAAACGAAUUUGGCCGAGGAGCCGGAUUUUGUGGGCUGAGCUGGAAAAAGGAAAAUAAAGUCUGACUGUUGUUUUGUUUGCUGAGAAUAAGAGAACCUGGGGCAGAGGGGAAGGCGCUCCAGCAGCUGCGCUCAUCUCUGGGAAGAGAUUUGAUGUGAGUCUACCAGUCAGUCCUCUGCCUGUCUCUCCCGCAAACCAGGAGCAAACUCGCUGUCUCAAGUCUCCUUCUACUCCUGUAUAUACAGUACCUGCACUUGGGGAAGAACAAAUGUUUUGUAAAGCUCUGUCACCAUGAAGCCUUCCAUAUCUCACAGUGGAGAAACUAAUACUGCAGAUAAGAAUUACAACUAAUAAAGAAAAUAGUCUGGAUGGUAUAAAUCUAUAGUAUAUCCAUGUGUGCUAAGCAAGUAAUAAAUGGAUGGCCAUUUCCA